AUACGGAGGAUCCGAGCGUUAUCCGGAUUUAUUGGGUUUAAAGGGUGCGCAGGCGGCCAUUUAAGUCAGCGGUUAAAUCGUGGGGCUCAACCCCAUUCUGCCGUUGAUACUGGGUGGCUUGAUUGCGGUAGAGGUUGGCGGAAUUCGUUGUGUAGCGGUGAAAUGCAUAGAUAUGACGAAGAACACCGAUUGCGUAGGCAGCUGACCAGACCGCAAAUGACGCUCAUGCACGAAAGUGCGGGGAUCGAACAGGAUUAGAUACCCUGGUAGUCCGCACAGUAAACGAUGAAUACUUGUUUUCGGCGAUAUAAUGUCGGAGGCAAAGCGAAAGCGAUAAGUAUUCCACCUGGGGAGUACGCCGGCAACGGUGAAACUCAAAUGAAUUGACGGGG
This 392-nucleotide ribosomal RNA is filed under the name uncultured bacterium. RNAcentral describes it as "partial 16S ribosomal RNA". It matches the Rfam family "Bacterial small subunit ribosomal RNA", at positions 523 to 918 of the family's 1533-position model. The record is from RNAcentral.